This 253-nucleotide long non-coding RNA is filed under the name Vigna radiata. Its description in RNAcentral is "long non-coding RNA (VRAD_LNC005114)". Lineage: Eukaryota; Viridiplantae; Streptophyta; Magnoliopsida; Fabales; Fabaceae. The record is from RNAcentral.
UUGUCUCUUACAGUUUGUCCUACAUAGAUUGAAAAGAAAAGAGACAAGAUGAAAAAAAAAGAAAAAGAAAAAGAAAAUAUAUACAGAAAAUAAAAAAAAAAUUGUGAACAAUGGAGUCAAGAAGAGGAUUGGAUUAGAGGGUUUGGGUGUUAUUUGACUGUGUUUACCCUUGUUCCCCAUUGCUCCUCUAUUUCUUUUGGUUUGUAGCUUCUGAUCCAUAUUAUAUCCUCCCUUUUCCUUGGCUCCAUUUCAC